UACGUAGGGGGCAAGCGUUGUCCGGAAUCAUUGGGCGUAAAGAGCGUGUAGGCGGCCUGGUAAGUCCGCUGUGAAAGUCCGGGGCUCAACCCCGGAUCGGCCGUGCCGACUGAGAGGCUGGAGCACUGUAGAGGCGAGUGGAAUUCCGGGUGUAGCGGUGGAAUGCGUAGAGAUCCGGAAGAACCCCGGUGGCGAAGGCGGCUCGCUGGGCCGUUGCUGACGCUGAGGCGCGACAGCUUGGGGAGCAAACAGG
RNAcentral lists this ribosomal RNA (253 nucleotides) under uncultured bacterium. RNAcentral's name for it is "partial 16S ribosomal RNA". It matches the Rfam family "Bacterial small subunit ribosomal RNA", at positions 524 to 776 of the family's 1533-position model. The record is from RNAcentral.